This 199-nucleotide long non-coding RNA is filed under the name Vigna radiata. RNAcentral's name for it is "long non-coding RNA (VRAD_LNC013719)". Lineage: Eukaryota; Viridiplantae; Streptophyta; Magnoliopsida; Fabales; Fabaceae. The record is from RNAcentral.
AAUGAGCUAAGACAAUCAAGAGUAAGUUAAGAGACAAAGAAAAUCUACAACUUUCUUCAUUCAAAUGGCCCAAAACCGAAAUACUAAGCAAGCUCCCUUAAGGCAUGUUCAUCCAUGAAACCCUAGGAGAGAAAAGUUUGAAAACAUGAAGUAUGAAGUGUGGCUAUGGGAGCCCAAGAGUGUGUCUCGGCAUUCUCCC